RNAcentral lists this ribosomal RNA (491 nucleotides) under Hyalopsocus floridanus. Its description in RNAcentral is "partial 16S ribosomal RNA". The stretch from base 369 to 491 matches the Rfam family "Bacterial large subunit ribosomal RNA", at positions 2473 to 2596 of the family's 2925-position model. The record is from RNAcentral. Lineage: Eukaryota; Metazoa; Arthropoda; Insecta; Psocodea; Psocidae.
GUCUUUUUGAGAAAAAUUUAAAGUCCAAUCUGCUCACUGAAUAAUUAAAGAGCCGCAGUAUUUUAACUGUGCAAAGGUAGCAUAAUAAAUAGUUUUUUAAUUGAAAACUUGUAUGAAAGAUUAGACGAAAAAUGUAUUUUCUUUAUUUUAUUAAAUUAAAUUUUAAAUUUAAGUGAAAAUGCUUAAUUUUAAUUAAAAGACGAGAAGACCCUAUAGAUUUUUAUUAUUAAACUAAAUUUUAUAUUGUGAUUUAAUUAAAUAAUUUAAUUGGGGCGAUUUUGUAAUAUGAAAAACUUAAUUUAUUUAUACCAUAUAUAAUUGAAUAUUUUGAUCUAAAAAUUUUAAAGAAAAGAUUAAAUUACCUUAGGGAUAACAGCGUAAUUUUAUUUAAGAGUUCAUAUCUAUAAUAAAGUUUGCGACCUCGAUGUUGAAUUAAGAUAAUAUAUUGGAGUAGAAAUUAGUAUAAUUAGUCUGUUCGACUAUUAAAUUCU